AGUGAACGCUGGCGGUAGGCCUAACACAUGCAAGUCGAACGGCAGCACAGUAAGAGCUUGCUCUUACGGGUGGCGAGUGGCGGACGGGUGAGGAAUACAUCGGAAUCUACUUUUUCGUGGGGGAUAACGUAGGGAAACUUACGCUAAUACCGCAUACGACCUACGGGUGAAAGCAGGGGAUCUUCGGACCUUGCGCGAUUGAAUGAGCCGAUGUCGGAUUAGCUAGUUGGCGGGGUAAAGGCCCACCAAGGCGACGAUCCGUAGCUGGUCUGAGAGGAUGAGCAGCCACACGGGAACUGAGACACGGUCCAGACUCCUACGGGAGGCAGCAGUGGGGAAUAUUGGACAAGGGGCGCAAGCCUGAUCCAGCCAUACCGCGUGGGUGAAGAAGGCCUUCGGGUUGAAAAGCCCUUUUGUUGGGAAAGAAAAGCAGCAGGUUAAUACCCCGCUGUUCUGACGGUACCCAAAGAAUAAGCACCGGCUAACUUCG
RNAcentral lists this ribosomal RNA (490 nucleotides) under uncultured bacterium. RNAcentral's name for it is "partial 16S ribosomal RNA". It matches the Rfam family "Bacterial small subunit ribosomal RNA", at positions 29 to 505 of the family's 1533-position model. The record is from RNAcentral.